UGGGGAAUAUUGGACAAUGGGCGCAAGCCUGAUCCAGCCAUGCCGCGUGAGUGACGAAGGUCUUCGGAUUGUAAAGCUCUUUUUGGCGGGGACGAUAAUGACGGUACCCGCAGAAUAAGCCCCGGCUAACUUCGUGCCAGCAGCCGCGGUAAUACGAAGGGGGCUAGCGUUGUUCGGAAUUACUGGGCGUAAAGCGCACGUAGGCGGACUGAUAAGUCAGGGGUGAAAUCCCGGGGCUCAACCUCGGAACUGCCUUUGAUACUGUUAGUCUCGAGUCCGGAAGAGGUGAGUGGAAUUCCUAGUGUAGAGGUGAAAUUCGUAGAUAUUAGGAAGAACACCAGUGGCGAAGGCGGCUCACUGGUCCGGUACUGACGCUGAGGUGCGAAAGCGUGGGGAGCAAACAGGAUUAGAUACCCGCGUAGUCCCUGAGCGGGCUGGCAAGGCGCAU
This 448-nucleotide ribosomal RNA is filed under the name uncultured bacterium. Its description in RNAcentral is "bacterial SSU rRNA". It matches the Rfam family "Bacterial small subunit ribosomal RNA", at positions 355 to 825 of the family's 1533-position model. The record is from RNAcentral.